Molecule: ribosomal RNA, 593 nt
Filed under: uncultured Pseudomonas sp.
Lineage: Bacteria; Pseudomonadati; Pseudomonadota; Gammaproteobacteria; Pseudomonadales; Pseudomonadaceae
Description: bacterial SSU rRNA
Rfam family: Bacterial small subunit ribosomal RNA
Source: RNAcentral
GCGGGGCCUGGGUUAGGGACGUUUCGACGGACGCUAAUACCGCAUACGUCCUACGGGGGAAAGCAGGGGACCUUGCGCUCACUGCGCUAUCAGAUGAGCCUAGGUCGGAUUAGCUAGUUGGCCGAUGGUAAUGGCUCACCAAGGCGACGAUCCGUAACUGGUCUGAGAGGAUGAUCAGUCACACUGGAACUGAGACACGGUCCAGACUCCUACGGGAGGCAGCAGUGGGGAAUAUUGGACAAUGGGCGAAAGCCUGAUCCAGCCAUGCCGCGUGUGUGAAGAAGGUCUUCGGAUUGUAAAGCACUUUAAGUUGGGAGGAAGGGCAGUAAGUUAAUACCUUGCUGUUUUGACGUUACUGACAGAAUAAGCACCGGCUAACUCUGUGCCAGCAGCCGCGGUAAUACAGAGGGUGCAAGCGUUAAUCGGAAUUACUGGGCGUAAAGCGCGCGUAGGUGGUUCGUUAAGUUGGAUGUGAAAGCCCCGGGCUCAACCUGGGAACUGCAUCCAAAACUGGCGAGCUAGAGUACGGUAGAGGGUGGUGGAAUUUCCUGUGUAGCGGUGAAAUGCGUAGAUAUAGGAAGGAACACCAGUGA